UCUGGCAUUGAUCACUAAUUGAG
Molecule: non-coding RNA, 23 nt
Filed under: Cricetulus griseus (Chinese hamster)
Lineage: Eukaryota; Metazoa; Chordata; Mammalia; Rodentia; Cricetidae
Source: RNAcentral